CAGUCGCCGCGGGAAUACGUAGGUGGCAAGCGUUGUCCGGAAUUAUUGGGCGUAAAGGGCUCGCAGGCGGUUUCUUAAGUCUGAUGUGAAAGCCCCCGGCUCAACCGGGGAGGGUCAUUGGAAACUGGGAAACUUGAGUGCAGAAGAGGAGAGUGGAAUUCCACGUGUAGCGUGAAAUGCGUAGAUAUUGGGAGGAACACCAGUGGCGAAGGCGGCUUUCUGGUCUGUAACUGACGCUGAGGAGCGAAAGCGUGGGGAGCGAACAGGAUUAGAUACCCCCGUAGUCCCUGUCUCUUAUACC
This 301-nucleotide ribosomal RNA is filed under the name uncultured bacterium. RNAcentral describes it as "partial 16S ribosomal RNA". It matches the Rfam family "Bacterial small subunit ribosomal RNA", at positions 509 to 808 of the family's 1533-position model. The record is from RNAcentral.